GACGAACGCUGGCGGCAGGCCUAACACAUGCAAGUCGAACGCCGUAGCAAUACGGAGUGGCAGACGGGUGAGUAACGCGUGGGAACAUACCCUCCGGUUCGGAAUAACUCAGGGAAACUUGAGCUAAUACCGGAUACGUCCAAGGUUUUAAUCGGCCUUGGAGAAAGAUUUAUCGCUGGAGGAUUGGCCCGCGUCUGAUUAGCUUGUUGGUGAGGUAAUGGCUCACCAAGGCGACGANCAGUAGCUGGUCUGAGAGGAUGAUCAGCCACAUUGGGACUGAGACACGGCCCAAACUCCUACGGGAGGCAGCAGUGGGGAAUAUUGGACAAUGGGCGAAGCCUGAUCCAGCCAUGCCGCGUGAGUGAU
Molecule: ribosomal RNA, 366 nt
Filed under: uncultured bacterium
Lineage: Bacteria
Description: bacterial SSU rRNA
Rfam family: Bacterial small subunit ribosomal RNA
Source: RNAcentral